This 30-nucleotide non-coding RNA is filed under the name Mus musculus (house mouse). Lineage: Eukaryota; Metazoa; Chordata; Mammalia; Rodentia; Muridae. The record is from RNAcentral.
UGGAAGGAAGCUGUCUCUGCAAACAGCAUC